CGUAGGGGGCUAGCGUUGUCCGGAAUCAUUGGGCGUAAAGAGCGUGUAGGCGGUCCGGUAAGUCCGCUGUGAAAGUCGGGGGCUCAACCCUCGAAUGCCGGUGGAUACUGUCGGGCUAGAGUGCGGAAGAGGCGAGUGGAAUUCCUGGUGUAGCGGUGAAAUGCGCAGAUAUCAGGAGGAACACCUAUUGCGAAGGCAGCUCGCUGGGACGUUACUGACGCUGAGACGCGAAAGCGUGGGGAGCAAACAGGAUUAGAUACCCUGGUAGUCCACGCUGUAAACGAUGGGCACUAGGUGUGGGGGGUGUCGACUCCCUCCGUGCCGAAGCUAACGCAUUAAGUGACCCCGCCUGGGGAGUACGGCCGCAAGGCUA
This 373-nucleotide ribosomal RNA is filed under the name uncultured organism. RNAcentral's name for it is "bacterial SSU rRNA". It matches the Rfam family "Bacterial small subunit ribosomal RNA", at positions 526 to 896 of the family's 1533-position model. The record is from RNAcentral.